CCUACGGGUGGCAGCAGUGGGGAAUAUUGCGCAAUGGGCGAAAGCCUGACGCAGCGACGCCGCGUGAGGGAUGAAGGUCUUCGGAUCGUAAACCUCUGUCAGCAGGGAAGAACGGUCACUGUGCUAAUCAGCAGUGAAUUGACGUUACCUGCAAAGGAAGCACCGGCUAAAUCCGUGCCAGCAGCCGCGGUAAUACGGAGGGUGCGAACUUUAAUCGGAAUUACUGGGCGUAAAGCGCUCGUAGGCGGUAUGUCAAGUCAAGGGUGAAAUCCCCGCGCUCAACGUGGGAACUGCCGUUGAAACUGGCAAACUGGAGUGUGUGAGAGGAUAGUGGAAUGCCAGGUGUAGGAGUGAAAGCCGUAGAUAUCUGGAGGAACAUCAGUGGCGAAGGCGACUAUCUGGCACAUAACUGACGCUGAGGAGCGAAAGCGUGGGUAGCAAACAGGAUUAGAUACCCGAGUAGUC
Molecule: ribosomal RNA, 465 nt
Filed under: uncultured bacterium
Lineage: Bacteria
Description: partial 16S ribosomal RNA
Rfam family: Bacterial small subunit ribosomal RNA
Source: RNAcentral